RNAcentral lists this long non-coding RNA (622 nucleotides) under Monodelphis domestica (gray short-tailed opossum). RNAcentral's name for it is "lncRNA (ENSMODG00000031176.2)". The record is from RNAcentral. Lineage: Eukaryota; Metazoa; Chordata; Mammalia; Didelphimorphia; Didelphidae.
CUAUCCAUCAAGCAACUUGCCUUUGAGGAUCUACUGCAUUUGGUGAGAGGAAAUCUCCAGGCUUCUGGUGGACAGCUACUGGAGAGCAGACCUCUACUUUGCUGAGACCAUCUGAGAAUACCAUACCUGGGAUCCCUGAAAUCUGAUCAACCAUUGACUCUGUUCUUCAUCUAAAAGAUGGGUAAAAUAACAUUUGUGCUGCUGGUCUCUCUCACUGGAUUUCUAUAAGGGUGUAAAGAAAAGCACCACCACACAUCCAAUUUAGAAGGUGUCCAUACAUAUAAGUGCAAGGCUGCGUAUUUGAAUGAUCCAGGUACAAAGACUACCAUGACAAGGCUAAAUGACUGCCUAAAAACAGAAAUCUGAAAAUGAAGGUGAACCCGAAAUAUGACCUGGAAACAAAAGCCUGCUUAACAGUUACUAUUAAGCAAUACAUUAGUGGAUCAAUUAAACAGAACUUCUUUCUAAUGAAUGGGGCUGUGCAAGAGUUGCCAUGGAAACCUGGAAAAAGAAAGCCUUAGAAUGCUAAUAGCAGAAGAAACACAACAAAAUGUUUGUAAACACACACCUUGAAAUUUGUAUGAUCAGUUAAGCAAUAAAAGGGUGAUGCAAUAUGUUUGCA